Long non-coding RNA from Zea mays, 334 nucleotides. RefSeq lists it as uncharacterized. The record is from RefSeq and is a predicted model, not a curated record. The transcript is spliced from 3 exons. Lineage: Eukaryota; Viridiplantae; Streptophyta; Magnoliopsida; Poales; Poaceae.
AUUCCUUCCUUACUAUUAUUAACUAUCCCUCUCUCUGUUUUCAAAUCAAGUGAUGGGAUAUACUUCUCCAUUUUUCCUUUUGGCUUUUACUACCCAGUUCCAACUAACAAGGAAAAUCGAGGGACAACUGAUCUUUAUAUUAUCAGGUGGAUGCAAUCAAAACCAAGAUGCAAGUUGCAAGUCUGGAACGACCGACUACCAUUCACUGUUGCAAGUGAUUUCUAUUGUUAAGAAGCUAUGAGCGAAAAUUUUGUGUCUCAAGCAAUACUUGGUACUCGAGCAUCAGAGAUCAUAAAGCUUGCUCCUUUUUGUCUCCAUUUAUCAGUCGAGGGGG